Molecule: long non-coding RNA, 555 nt
Filed under: Mus musculus (house mouse)
Lineage: Eukaryota; Metazoa; Chordata; Mammalia; Rodentia; Muridae
Description: long non-coding RNA chr5:16297790-16298345
Source: RNAcentral
GCCAUAUGAUCCAGCCCCAGCUGCUCCUCUGACCUGGUGUCCUCGAUCGAUCCUCAUGUACUGCAAAGCUAAACUCUUCUUCGUGCCCCUGGACCACUUGCUCCCCAUGGUCCAAAUCCAGAACUCCACACAUGUUCUGUGUGCCUGGGAUAUUCUUUUCCAUGCUCGUCACUAACAUUUCUUUGAAAUAUAUGCCCCACAAAAUGUCAUUUCUCAAGAGAAUUUCUUCCACUGUCCACUUUCCAAAUUAAAAACUCUUCUUGCAGCGUUGUGUCUCAGAACAUGAUAGUCUGUGCUUCAGUAAGCUAGGCACCAUUAAUCUUAGAUAUUGAGAAGCAGUUUGGGAUUAUUGAAGGAACAGUCAGCUUGAGUGCUGACUCUCGCCACCUACUAGUUAGGUAUCCAGGCACAAGUUAUCUGAAAGUAGAUUUUUUUUUCAUACAGUGUAUUAUGAUUAUUACCCCCAGUGCCUCCUAAUUCCUCCCCUUGUCCUGUCUCAUCCAGAUCUACCCUCUGUCUAUCUCUCAUUAGAAAAUAAACCAGCCUCUAAGGAAU